UUCUGUAGCUUACUGACAAAUAUCAAGAGUUCGUAGUGGAUUCAGAGAGAGAACCGUUAAUGGCUAAACUCCAAGAGGUGGAAGAUUGGUUGUACGAGGAUGGUGAGGAUGAAACCAAAGGUGUCUAUAUUGCUAAACUGGAGGAACUCAAGAAGGUAGUCUUGUGUUUAUUUGUUAGUGAUUACUGCGUCUUUAAUUUCUGACCUUCAUAUGAGAGGACAUCAUUUUAAGAAUGUGUCAAAUAUCCUGCAGCUAGGUGAUCCCAUUGAGUUGCGAUACAAGGAGCAUAUGGAGAGGGGACCUGUAAUUGAUCAACUUAUUUAUUGCAUCAACAGUUACAGGGAGGCUGCAAUGUCAAAUGAUCCAAAAUUUGAUCACAUUGAUAUGGCAGAUAAGCAAAAGGUAUGCUCUCUGGCGCACUCCCCUUCCUCCUCAGAAGUAGGCUCGUGUGUUAUAACUGGUACUACUGUUAAUGGAUUGUGAUUUACUUUACAUCACUGUACCAGGUUUUGAAUGAAUGCGUCGAAGCAGAGGCUUGGCUAAGAGAGAAAAAGCAGCAGCAGGAUGCACUUCCCAAGUAUGCAAUGCCAGUUCUUUUUUCCGCUGAUGUCAGGAAAAAAGCUGAAGCUCUCGAUAGGUAUUCUUUCAUUUAACCGUCGAGUAAUUAUGAGCCAUUUUCUAUUAAGUUGUGGGUUUGCCGUCUAUUGUCUAAAUGCUAUUUUUGUGUCUUUGCGGCAUGGUGGGGAAGAUGCUAAAUAGCUUGCUAGUACGCCUGUUUGUUUUUGUUCUAGUAAUUACAAACUAUUUGGUCUCUAAUGAAAAUACAACUUGCCUUGGCAGGCUUUGCAGGCCAAUAAUGAUGAAGCCAAAGCCGGUGAAGCCAGCUACUCCUGAAGCACCCUCACCAGCAUCCUCUCAAGGAGGCGAGUCCCAAUCUCAUGGAGCAGAGAACCCUAACUCAAGCCCUGGCCAGAACACUGAUGAAUCUAGAAAUGAAGCAUCAUCCACGGAGCCCAUGGAAACCGAUAAGUCUCAAGAGUGACCCAAUUGCUGCAUAAUGUGUUUGUCCUGUUGCUAUAUCUAUAUUUCUUGCUGGGCUUGUAUGGCCUCGUCUGUACGAGUAGCAAUCAGCGACUGGAACUUUUUUGUGGCUGCGAUAUGUUUGCUGGAACUUGUUUCUUUGGAUAAUGUAUAUCUCUAUAAUCCUGUUUUACAGAAGGGUUUGUGAGAGAGAACCUAAAUGACUAUGAUAUGAUAUUCCUUUGCCUGCGUAUUCUUCUGCACAAAAAUGACCUGUCCUGAUGUUUAUUGAUUAAAAUUUCCCAUUUCUGAUAUAGACUUUCUUUCUGUAUUUGAUUUUGAUUUUCCAAUUAAAUUAGAUUUUGUUUUCGUUAAAGAGAGGCUUUUUAUAUUUUAUGUUCACGGAUGUGA
This 1431-nucleotide long non-coding RNA is filed under the name Olea europaea subsp. europaea. Lineage: Eukaryota; Viridiplantae; Streptophyta; Magnoliopsida; Lamiales; Oleaceae. The record is from RNAcentral.